GGCUCUGCCUCUCCCUCAAACCUUGUCUCCUGUGUGUUUGGCUUUUGAAAAACAAACCCUGGACUUUGUGUUUCCCAUCUCGCCCAGUGUCAGAGAAACGUGGGCAGAAGGAGAGAACGGAGAAUGUUAGUGAAGAAAAAAAAAAAACAAAAACCUGAGUGAACAGCACAGACUGUCACCCACCACAGUGGCUUGAGAAUCAUGCAUGGAGUGUCUUCUGGACCCUGAGGUGGCACACGUGGCUUCUCCUUUCUCACUGCCCUGGCUUAGGACUGCGGUCAGAUGCCCAGGUUCCAGCUGCCCUGUCUCACAUCAGCGCUGCCACUGUCUUGACCUUGCCCAUGGAAAGCAGCAACUCCAGCAUUGCCCCCAUCAUGUCUAUUGCUGUGGGAACCUCCGUGGAUCUGGAACCCAGGCUGUAUGGUCAGGUCAGUCAAGAUGGCUGUUCUCUUGUUCUCUGUACAUCCCCUGAUGGACUGGUCCUUGCUCCACCUAUAUCCUACUCGCAUGACCGACCUUCCCUCUUAGUACGUACUUGCCC
This 541-nucleotide long non-coding RNA is filed under the name Bos indicus x Bos taurus (hybrid cattle). RNAcentral's name for it is "lncRNA (ENSBIXG00000015234.1)". The record is from RNAcentral. Lineage: Eukaryota; Metazoa; Chordata; Mammalia; Artiodactyla; Bovidae.